GGACCUGGCGGCAUGCUACUACAUGCUUAUCGAACGAGAUCCUUCGGAUCUAGUGGCGCACGGGUGCGUAACGCGUGGGAAUCUGCCCUUGGGUUCGGAAUAACUUCUGGAAACGGAAGCUAAUACCGGAUGAUGACGUAAGUCCAAAGAUUUAUCGCCCAAGGAUGAGCCCGCGUAGGAUUAGGUAGUUGGUGAGGUAAAGCCUCACCAAGCCGACGAUCCUUAGCUGGUCUGAGAGGAUGAUCAGCCACACUGGGACUGAGACACGGCCCAGACUCCUACGGGAGGCAGCAGUAGGGAAUAUUGGACAAUGGGCGAAAGCCUGAUCCAGCAAUGCCGCGUGAGUGAUGAAGGCCUUAGGGUUGUAAAGCUCUUUUACCCGGGAUGAUAAUGACAGUACCGGGAGAAUAAGCUCCGGCUAACUCCGUGCCAGCAGCCGCGGUAAUACGGAGGGAGCUAGCGUUGUUCGGAAUUACUGGGCGUAAAGCGCACGUAGGCGGAUAUUCAAGUCAGAGGUGAGAGCCCGGGGCUCAACCCCGGAACUGCUUUGAAACUAGAUAGCUUGAAUCCAGGAGAGGUGUCUGGAAUUCCGAGUGUAGAGGU
Molecule: ribosomal RNA, 603 nt
Filed under: uncultured Sphingomonas sp.
Lineage: Bacteria; Pseudomonadati; Pseudomonadota; Alphaproteobacteria; Sphingomonadales; Sphingomonadaceae
Description: bacterial SSU rRNA
Rfam family: Bacterial small subunit ribosomal RNA
Source: RNAcentral